CCGCUCCUCACAUCCCUUCUCCAACCAGGGCAAAGAAGACGUGGGAUCAGAACCUGCGGGCGGUAAACCAAGCCCACAGCUCUCACACUGUUUGGGGGUUUCACCGUGUUAGCCAGGAUGGUCUCAAUCUCCUGACCUCAUGAUCGGCCCGCCUCGGCCUCCCAAAGUGCUGGGAUUACAGGCGUGAGCCACUGCGCCUGGCCCCAAAUUCUUCUAUGAAACAAACCUUCACAGUCCACUGAGCUGGUGUGGUUCAAAGUGCCAUCAAGGGUGGUAAGAAUGAUUGAACUCUGAUGACCAGAUGAUUUUCCUGCUCCAAAGCUCCCUUGCCAGGACACCCUCAAGCAAGAAUUGCCCUCCUGAGCAGGGCUUCCUGAGGCCAGAUGUGGAGGCUUUUCUUCAGAAAUCUCCUGGUCAGCCAUGAAUAAUCACUACUGUGCAAGAGGAUGAGCUCCGGCCUCUCUUAGUCACCUUUGAGUCCAUCUCAGCUACUGAAAUGUCUGUCCUAUGGAGUGGGAGGCUACCCGGAUGAGAAGAGGAAUAGAAACAGCACAAGGACCACGUGAACUCUCCCGUACUGAACCAUAGUACAGGUCCUACAGGGAAGUUUGCCUUGUUUCCGACCCCACUCCUGAAUGUAUGACAGGCAUUUGCUGAGAACAAAGGCUACCAUUAGGCAUCGCGGCUGAUGCUGUGAGAGUCUAAAGGAUACACUUUCUACCAGGAGGCUUUCCGCCUAGGAAAGGGGAGACAUGAAUCUAAAUGCACUAGAUGAGAGAGCUGUGUAGAUGCGCGUCUUCCUCACUGGUCUCAGUCAUUUUUUAACCUCCCGCUUACCCACAGUACUGCACCUGGCAUGCAGAUGAUGCUCCCAUAAUGUUUGGUAAGCAUUACAUGCAAAAUACAAAAGACAGUUCAUAGGAGGAAGAGAAUGUGUACAUGUAAUUGCGGUGCAUUGGGGCCCAUUUAUAACAGGGUUUCUCAAGAGUGGCACUGUCAACAUCUGGGGACAGGUAAUUCUUUAUUGUGGGGGCCGUCCUGGCUCUUGUAGGAUCUUUAGCAGUAUCCCUGGCCUCUCUGCACUGGAUACCAGGAGCGCUCAGCCAUGAUAAUUGAAAGUGUCUGCAGCCAUUGCCAGAUAUUCCCAGAGAUAACGUCACCCCCACUGAGAAUCACUAGGUUAUAGCUUUUGUGUCAUCCCACUGUCCAAUCCUCCUGCCAGGGUCCUGUGUUCUGAGGUUUUUCUAUUCCAUUUCUAAGAAAAUUAUGCUUCCUAAAAUCUGUGACCUCAGAACUUUAUUCUCUGUUUUUCAAAAUGUUGAUCAAGUCAUGCAAUAGUGAAUUCAAAUGAAACUGGUUAACGGAAAAAGAUACUAGUAGUUCCCUCACCCACAUUCAUCUCCAGAAUCCAUUUGUCACUGGAACAUCUGAAUAGGGCCACUUGGAAGCAGCCCCAUGACAUAUUAACAUCCUACAACAUAAACACCCAGAUGGCACAAGGGAGGCCCCCACACCAACACUUCACAAGAGCCGCCCCAACCAGCCACUGAGCACAGGAGCUUCGGCUUACAAAAGGCAGCUUACUCCCACCUACCAGGAUCACAGAGCAUGGCAGAGUGGCCUAGUCACCUUUGAAAGAUUGCCUACUCUGUCCAAGAUCUAAAAGCCAUUGCUUAGAAUGGUGACAGUUUUAGGUUACAUCCAAAUCUGGAUCUGAAACCACUUUCCAAGUGUCUGUGUGUCCCCACCUCCUGCUGCAAGGGCUGCCUCAAGAUGGGAUGCAGGGUACAUGACCUAAACGCCCAAAACCCCAGUAAGCAUUUCUCAUUGAGAUCCACCUGCUGGCCCUUCUUAAGGGACAGAGCAAGCGAGUGGAGAGAAAGCCCAGGGACUCGGGUCACCUGCAGAAAUGACAAUCAGGAAAGCCGUGAGCCGGUUCCCCCACUGGGGCAUAUUCUGCUUUCUCCUCUUGCCUGAGUUGACUGUGACACGAAGACAUUCCUCAGACCCAGUCCCAGUUACCAGAGGUGAGUCAGCUCAGCCCAACAAUCCCAAUUCAAUGCUUAUUCACAAAUUGUAAUUUUAGUACAAUAGGGCACAGCUUUAAAUAAGAGCUAUGAGAAACCCACCCACCUAUGACAUGGCAGUGGGCUGCUCAUCUCCCCACUCUGGGUGGACAUUCUGUUAGUCAUAGAGGAGCAUCUGGGCCCAGCUCACUUGUCUCCCCACUUUCUUGUAUCUCCAGACAUUUUACCAAACAGACACUGAGUCAGAAUAAGUAGGUUUAGCAAUUAAAAUCUGCGUGGAGGCUGCCUUCAGAAGCAUUUGGAGGAUUUGGAAAUAAAUAUUCCUCCACUGCAAAUCAAACACUCAUUGUAAAAACCUGAAUGUAAUAUGCAUGAAGACAAACUCGAGCUGAAAUCUCAUGACAUAAUCUUUUUCUCCUUCAACGAGGAACAUAAAGGACUUCCAUUCGCUUGCAGGGCAGGCUGAAUAAUUCAGAGUAGAAGCAGAAUGGUCUCUAAGUACAAGAAGCAGUGAGAUCCUGUCAAAGGAAGCAUCUACCUGGUUCUGAACACAGAAAUUUCCAUUGGAAACACUGUGCAGACAAGGAAUGCCCCUAGACGACACCCUAUCACACUAAAGCCGGGGUGUUGAAAUGAGGCAGAGUCAGGUAGUCUGAACACACCCGAUUUCUGGUCAAUGCUUCCUUCAGCCUCAGAGAGGAAGUCAAGAGCUAGAUGUUUCUGUAUUUUGGCCAACCCUACAAGGCCAGCUGGAGAAGGCCCCCUGCAGCAUCUCAUCCCAGAUGGAAGGAAAGGCACCCGAGCCACCAAGCCUGACAUCAUGCCAGGAAGAUGGUCCUUCAGGAUGGGUCAUCUUUGUCCUCUCCAGGCCUGUUGUGGGAGCUGUGAGCCUCCUGGACCUGCUGGACCGCUCUAACAGGAGGUGGUUAGAGCCCCAGCUUAAUAUGGCCAAGGUUUGUCUUCCAUUUACAUGAGGAUCACUGGAUAUCCCCCUUUUAUAAAGUUCCUGGAUUACACACUGCACCUCCCACCCCUGGUAGCUGGUGCAAACAUCUGCCACCCAGGAUCCAUGCAGAUCCAGUCUCACACACAUGCAUACACACACACACACACACACACACACACACACAACCUAAAAGCAUCAUUCCCAGAGCCAGAGCCUGCCACAGCCUCCUACAGGCAGCCCAGCUCCUGUUCAAGGUGAGGUCUAAGAGUUCCCAGCAGAACAGGGCCUGUCCCAAGGACAUGAGCUAUAACAAAGCCAAAUUGUUUCACACUCUAGUCUUGACUAAGGAGCUCUCAUUUUUCCAUCUGGAUGUCCAAAGCCACACUGCAGGCUGGCAGUGGAUCCAGGCUAGAAUGGACUUCUACUCUGAACGUAAGACACUGUUUCCAUCAUUCAUUAUGAGAUACAAAAUCUACAUUCAAAUGUCUCAGUCUGUAAAACUCCAGGCUAGUGGUUCUUAGCAUUUUUAGGGUCACAGACUCCACUGAGAAAUUGAUAAAAACCAAAGACUCUUUGCCUGGUCAAAUGUACUUUCACAUAAAAUUGAUGGCACAGUUUUAGGGCUUAAAAGAAGCCCUGAAAACCAUCCAUAAAUGACUAAAAGCCUCUUCCCUGGUCACUGGAUUGUAAAGCAAGAGGGCACUUCCUAACCACUUUGCACCUGCCCAACUUCAGGUAAUCUCAGUUAAAACGUCUCUUGUGUUAGGGUAAAGCACCAGUAUUUCCUGGACUGGUCAAGAGUUAAGCCUGCAAGUAGCAGAAACUUCCUGGCUCACUUCUAUGUGCUGGCAAUGGGCAACAUCUCUCAGCAGCUAUGAUUUUUUUUUUUUUUUUUUUGAGACGGAGUCUCCCUCUGUCGCCCAGGCUGGAGUGCAGUGGUGCCAUCUCAGCUCACUGCAAGCUCCGCCUCCCGGGUUCACGCCAUUCUUCUGCCUCAGGAGCGAGUAGCUGGGACUACAGGCGCCCGCCACUACGCCCGGCUAAUUUUUUGUAUUUUUAGUAGAGACGGGGUUUCCCGUGUUAGCCAGGAUGGUCUCGAUUUCCUGACCUCGUGAUCCGCCAGCCUUGGCCUCCCAAAGUGCUGGGAUUACAGGCGUGAGCCACCGCACCCGGCCUGCAGCUAUGAUUUGUUGAGCGGUUACUACAUGCCAGGCCCAAAGCAGGGCUCCCAUGCAUUUUUGUCCUUUAACCCUUAAAAUUACCCUAUAAUUGCAGGAUCAAUGUUUCCAUUUUACAGAUGAGGGCAUUAAGGCUCAGAGAGGUGAAGUGCCCUUCUCAAGAAGUCCUGCAAGCUGCAAGUAUGCCUGCCAACGCACUAAGGGCCCAUCAAUUGCACCAGGCAUGGUCAGCCCGAGCAAAUGCCUUCCUCUAAAUUAGUAGGACUGGGCUAAAAUCCCAGAGUACUUGGUGAGAGAGUUGCUAAAAAUUUUGACUGUUUGCAAACUGGGAUUGUCUUCAUUUUUAUUUGCCUUUGGACUUCCUGUUUAGAGAUGAAAACAAGCACAGAAUUUUCCGGAGGCCUACUCUUUCUGAAUUUGUAAUAGAACUACAAAAAGAACACUAAUUUCAAGGAAGCCUCCAUCUCCUCUUAUAGAUAAGAUGUGUGUGUGAUGAAUGAAAACAAAAACUUAGCUCAGUGUGGAAGUUGAUCAUCAAUAAUGACAUCAACUCAGCUUUAGUCACAUUUAAAAAAAACUAGGAGUCUAACAACUGCAUUUUAAAAUAACAGUGACUGAACAAGCUUGGUAAGUAAGAUCAUUAGACAGACAUUUAGAGAGUGACUUAGCCCUAUGCCUGGCACUGUUCUAUGCCCUGGCAAUGCAGAGGUGGUAAGGCAAGGUCCUCUCCACAGCAAACUCAUCAUUAGCAGGGGAGGUGGGGAAGACAUGUGAUUAACUGGAAUAACAAUGUGUUAACUGCUUUACCAGUGAUUUGACUGAGGUGCCAAAGGCCAGAGAGCAGGAAGUGAGUAAUGCUGGGGAAAGGAGAGGAAAGGCCUCAGAGGCUCAGGGAAGGUCUCAGGAGGUCAGGGAAGGAAGAAGAAGAUCUCUCCAAGUCCAGAAGGGCACUGUGGAUGGAGGACACAGCGUCAAUGGGAACCAGAGGGAAACUCAUUAGAGACGAGAGCUGGCUGAGGUGCAGGCUCCAUGUGUGGCAGGAGGAGAUACAGGAUGGGAGCCAGAAUAGGAAGGCGGUAGCCACAUGCUGAAGGCCUUGGUGGCUGGGCAGUGGCUCACACCUGUAAUUCCAACACUUUAGGAGGCCGAGGCAAGAGGAUUGCUCAAGCCCGGGAGUUCUAGGCUACGGUGCACCACGCCGAUCAGGUAUCUACAGUAGGUUUGUCAUCAAUAUGGUGACCUCCCUGGAGCAGGGGACCACCAGGUUGCCUAGGCAGAGUGUACCAGGCCAGGUCAGAAACUAAGCAGGUCAAAACUCCCAUGCUGAUCAGUAGUGGGAUCAUGCCUGUGAAUAGCCACUGCACUCCAGCCUGGGCAACAUGGUGAAAUCCCAUCUCAAAAAAAAAAAAAAAAGGCCUUGGUCAACUAUGAGGAGUCACCAAGAGGUUUUUUUUUUUUUAAUGGAGAAAGGACUCAGUGACAUUUAUAUGGUAGAAAGAUAGCUGUGGCAGACGCAUGAAAGGUAGAAUUUACCUGGGAGAAACCGUAAGCAAAAAAAUGGAAGAGAAAGUCUCUGCAAUUACUUUAAGCCAAGGACGAGGAAGGCUGGAUUCCAGAUAUUCAAAAACAAACAUUCCCACAGCAAACCAGCAGGGUCAGAUGGUGACAGGGAAGGCACAAAGCAGAAAAAGAAAUGCCUCCGAGGUUUCUAAGUGGAGCCGUCAGUCAACGAUGAUGCCGGUCAGAGAAAGGAAGCCCAGGAAGAAGAGCCAGUCCCGAGGUAAGGAGACAACAAGAUGAUGAGCUGUGUUUUGGACAGGUUGAUUUUGAGGUGGCCAAAGGAGAGUAGGUAAAUCGUCUGCAGAUGACAGCUUUAGAAGAUUAUAAGCAUAAAGCAUGAAGAAAAAGAGACAAGAACUAAGGAUAGAAGCUUAGGAAUAUUAAUUUUAAAAAGGAAUUGAAGGAGAGAAGAGCUAGCAAAAGAUACUGAGUAUGAACAGUUGAACCUGGGCUGUGGUCAAGACACCUUCCAAGAAGUCAAAUACCAAAAGCCACAGAGAGGUAAGGGAGAAUAAGACCCAAAAGGAAGGCCCUCAAUCAGGCUGUUAGAAGUUCCUUACUGCGUUUUCAAUUUCAGCAGAACCUUACGGGAUUUGGGAAUGGAAGCCGAAAGUUGAUACUACUCUUUGAAGAAUUUUAACCAAGGAUGGAAGAAAAGAGAUCAUCCACCCUCGUGACAAAGCCUUCCUUUGUCAUGGAGGGAGUGUGUGACCUAUUACAUGCCAGACCAUGUAACCUCACCAGCCUCAUCACGUCACGCCUGUGUUUGAGUGAGGCAGGUGAAGAGGGACAUGCCUAUACUGUGGCUAACGUCCAGAACUGGCUAAUGAUCCUCAUUGCUAGUACCGCCAAGUAUUCAUAGUUCAGGACUUAAAUUGUCCUAGAAAAUGUAGGGUAAAGACUACUGCUCAACAUUCCAGUGAGAGGCUGAGACUUCAGUGGCCCAUCGGAAGAGGAGACCUAUUUACUAAGAAAACACAAAACCAGGCCAGGUGCAGUGGCUCAUGCCUGUAAUCCCAGCACUUUGGGAGAUCAAGGCAGGAGACUGUUUGAGCCCAGAAGUUCAAGACCAGCCUGGGCAACAUAGUGAGACCCCAGUUUCUGCAAAAAAAAAAAAUAAUUUUUUAAAUUAGCUGGGCAUGCUGGCAUGCACCUGUAGUCCCAGCUACUCAGGAGGCUGAGGCAGGAGGAUCAUUUGAGCCCAGGAGAUCGAGGCUGUAGUGAGCUAUGAUUGUCCCACUGCACUCCAGCCUGAGUAACAGAGUGAGACUUCACCCAAACCAAAAAAUAAAAAUAAAAAGAAGAGAAAACAUAAAACCAACAGUGCAAGUGGCAAAUAUACUGCUGUUGAUAAUUUUGGUAAUACCAAGUUGAAGGUUCCAGGAAGCAAGCAUUUUCAGACACCACCGGUGAGGAUUUACAGUAGCACAACUUAUCAACAAGUAACUCAAAAAAAAGGGGAAGAAAAACCUAAAAGAUUGCAGACACUGUAGCCCAGCGAUUCAACGUACACAAACUUAUUCUAUAAAAGUCACAAGGAUAUCUGCAAAGAUUUAUCUACAAGCAUAUUUAUCAUAACUUUGUUUAUAAGAGUUUAAAACUGGAAACAAUGUAAAUUUCCAACAACAGGAAAUUAGUUAAACACAUUGUUAUACAUCUCCAUAGGAUACAAUACUCGGCAACCAUUUAAAAUGUUAAGUAGGCUGAGCAUGGUGGCUCAUGCCUAUAAUCCCACCAUUUUGGGAGGCCAAGGCGGGAGGAUCACUUGAGCUCAAGGGCUUGAGACCAGCCUGGACAACAUAGUGAAACCUCAUCUCUGCAAAAGAAUUUUUAAAAAUUAGUCAGGCAUUGUAAUCUCAGCUACUUGGGAGACUGAAGCAGGAGAAUCACUUGAACCUAGGAGGUGGAGGUUACAGUGAGCCAAGAUCACGCCACUGCACUCCAGCCUGGGCGACAGAGUGAGACUGGGUCUCAAAAAAAAAAAAUUAGUCAGGCGUGGUAGUGCACACUUAUAGUCCCAGCUACUCAGGAGGCUGAGGUAGGAGGAUCACUUGUGCCCAGGAUGUUAAUGAGCAGUGAAUGCAUCACUGCACUCCAGCCUGGGUGACAAAGUGAGACCCUGUCUCAAAAUAAAAUAAAAUAAAAUGUUAAACAGGCAACUAUUUAGCAACCCAGAAAAAACGGUCACAUUAUAUUAUUAAAUUUUAAAAAAUAGUUCACAAAAGAUAAUGAGUACAUUAAAUAUGUAUAUAUAUAUACACACAUGCACUCAUACACACUCAGACAAAAGACUAGAAGAAUGGACACCAAAAUAGUAACACAUUCAAAUGAAAGAGGAAGAAUAUGCACCAAAAUAGUAACAGUAUCUAAAUUUCUGGAUGGCACAAUAAUGGGUGGUUUUAAUUUACUUUUUGCUUCUCCGUAUUUUCCAAAAUAUUUAUAAGAAACACUCUAUAGCUUUGGUAAUUAAAAAUAGUCUGUUAUUUU
This 8198-nucleotide long non-coding RNA is filed under the name Homo sapiens (human). RNAcentral describes it as "HSALNT0032899". The stretch from base 5254 to 5550 matches the Rfam family "Metazoan signal recognition particle RNA". Lineage: Eukaryota; Metazoa; Chordata; Mammalia; Primates; Hominidae. The record is from RNAcentral.